GAGAAAAACUUUUUUUAAAUUAAAAAUUGAAAUUUUUUUAAUUUGUGCAGAAACAAUUAUUAAUAUUAAGGACAAGAAGACCCUAUGAAUUUAUUAAAUUUCAUUCAAUAUGUAAUUACUAUUGAAGAAAUUUUGGCUGGGGCGGCUAAAAAAUAUUUUAAACUUUUUAAAAAUAAAAUGAUCCAUUAUUAAUGAUUAUAUGUUAAAUACUCUAGGGAUAACAGCGUUAUAUUUUUUGAUAGACCAUAUUGACAAAAAAGUUUGCGACCUCGAUGUUGGAUUAGGAUACUUUUUUAAUGCAGAUAUUAAAAAAAGAAGUUUGUUCAACUUUCAAUUUCCUACAUGAUCUGA
Molecule: ribosomal RNA, 351 nt
Filed under: Rhipicephalus turanicus
Lineage: Eukaryota; Metazoa; Arthropoda; Arachnida; Ixodida; Ixodidae
Description: partial large subunit ribosomal RNA
Rfam family: Archaeal large subunit ribosomal RNA (bases 217-351)
Source: RNAcentral